This 492-nucleotide ribosomal RNA is filed under the name uncultured bacterium. Its description in RNAcentral is "partial 16S ribosomal RNA". It matches the Rfam family "Bacterial small subunit ribosomal RNA", at positions 29 to 507 of the family's 1533-position model. The record is from RNAcentral.
AGUGAACGCUGGCGGUAGGCCUAACACAUGCAAGUCGAACGGGAGCACAGUAAGAGCUUGCUCUUACGGGUGGCGAGUGGCGGACGGGUGAGGAAUACAUCGGAAUCUACUUUUUCGUGGGGGAUAACGUAGGGAAACUUACGCUAAUACCGCAUACGACCUACGGGUGAAAGCAGGGGAUCUUCGGACCUUUCGCGAUUGAAUGAGCCGAUGUCGGAUUAGCUAGUUGGCGGGGUAAAGGCCCACCAAGGCGACGAUCCGUAGCUGGUCUGAGAGGAUGAUCAGCCACACUGGAACUGAGACACGGUCCAGACUCCUACGGGAGGCAGCAGUGGGGAAUAUUGGACAAUGGGCGCAAGCCUGAUCCAGCCAUACCGCGUGGGUGAAGAAGGCCUUCGGGUUGUAAAGCCCUUUUGUUGGGAAAGAAAAGCAGCAGGUUAAUACCCCGCUGUUCUGACGGUACCCAAAGAAUAAGCUCCGGCUAACUUCGUG